GAUGAACGCUGGCGGCGUGCCUAAUACAUGCAAGUCGAGCGAACAGAUGAGGAGCUUGCUCCUCUGACGUUAGCGGCGGACGGGUGAGUAACACGUGGAUAACCUACCUAUAAUACUGGGAUAACUUCGGGAAACCGGAGCUAAUACCGGAUAAUAUAUUGAACCGCAUGGUUCAAUAGUGAAAGACGGUUUUGCUGUCACUUAUAGAUGGAUCCGCGCCGCAUUAGCUAGUUGGUAAGGUAACGGCUUACCAAGGCAACGAUGCGUAGCCGACCUGAGAGGGUGAUCGGCCACACUGGAACUGAGACACGGUCCAGACUCCUACGGGAGGCAGCAGUAGGGAAUCUUCCGCAAUGGGCGAAAGCCUGACGGAGCAACGCCGCGUGAGUGAUGAAGGUCUUCGGAUCGUAAAACUCUGUUAUUAGGGAAGAACAAAUGUGUAAGUAACUAUGCACGUCUUGACGGUACCUAAUCAGAAAGCCACGGCUAACUACGUG
RNAcentral lists this ribosomal RNA (497 nucleotides) under uncultured bacterium. RNAcentral describes it as "partial 16S ribosomal RNA". It matches the Rfam family "Bacterial small subunit ribosomal RNA", at positions 28 to 507 of the family's 1533-position model. The record is from RNAcentral.